GAGGACUUAGCUUAAUAAAAGUGAAUGAUUUGCAAUCAUUAGAUGUAAGAUGUGAACUUACAGUCCUUA
This 69-nucleotide transfer RNA is filed under the name Orientallactaga sibirica (Mongolian five-toed jerboa). RNAcentral describes it as "Allactaga sibirica (Mongolian five-toed jerboa) tRNA-Ala". It matches the Rfam family "tRNA". Rfam says of the family: Transfer RNA (tRNA) molecules are approximately 80 nucleotides in length. Their secondary structure includes four short double-helical elements and three loops (D, anti-codon, and T loops). Further hydrogen bonds mediate the characteristic L-shaped molecular structure. tRNAs have two regions of fundamental functional importance: the anti-codon, which is responsible for specific mRNA codon recognition, and the 3' end, to which the tRNAs corresponding amino acid is attached (by aminoacyl-tRNA synthetases). tRNAs cope with the degeneracy of the genetic code in two manners: having more than one tRNA (with a specific anti-codon) for a particular amino acid; and 'wobble' base-pairing, i.e. permitting non-standard base-pairing at the 3rd anti-codon position. The record is from RNAcentral. Lineage: Eukaryota; Metazoa; Chordata; Mammalia; Rodentia; Dipodidae.